UACUAAUAAUAAGAACACAAUACACAUUACCAUCUUUUGUAUACAAUUAAAUACUCCUAACACAACAAGCAAAGCAACUGUAUAACAGUAAACUACUAUGCUACACUAUUAAGAUACUCCUAACACAGCAAGCAAUACAACUUUAUAACAGUAAAGGACACUAAGCUACACUAUUAAGAUACUCCUAACACAGCAAGCAAUACAUCUGUAUAACAUUAAAGGACACUAAGCUACACUAUUAAGAGCGUCGAAUAUUUAGAGGAAUUACGGUAGAUACUCCUAACACAACAAGCAAAGCAACUGUAUAACAGUAAAGGACACUAUGCUAAUACUCCUAACACAACUAGCAUUACAACUGUAUAACAGUAAACUACUAUGCUACAAUAUUAAUAUACUCCUAACACAACAAGCAAUACAACUGUAUAACAGUAA
Amphimedon queenslandica is the source of this 432-nucleotide long non-coding RNA. RefSeq lists it as uncharacterized. The record is from RefSeq and is a predicted model, not a curated record. The transcript has 6 exons. Lineage: Eukaryota; Metazoa; Porifera; Demospongiae; Haplosclerida; Niphatidae.